CCGGGCUCUCCCCCCCUCCUCCCCCUUUUCUUCGCUUCCUUUUUCAGCUGCUGUUAGUUCGUGGAGUUUGGAGCCUAAGCUUUCAAAAGUCCCAUGUGGCGCCUGUCUUAAGUCGGAGCAUGCUCAGUA
This 129-nucleotide long non-coding RNA is filed under the name Castor canadensis (American beaver). RNAcentral describes it as "SMAD5 antisense RNA 1 conserved region 2 (ENSCCNG00000026197.1)". It matches the Rfam family "SMAD5 antisense RNA 1 conserved region 2". The record is from RNAcentral. Lineage: Eukaryota; Metazoa; Chordata; Mammalia; Rodentia; Castoridae.